UUAUUUUUUUUUUUAAGAUUUAAAUAGCAUAUGAUCCGACCUCAAAACCAUCAAAAUAUUAGUCGAGUAAGAUACCUACCUAACCCUCCUGCCUAAACCAUCGAUGCUGAUUCAAUCUGGUAAACAGGGCCUGAAAAUUAACAACGUCGUUCCACUUAUUCAAAAGGAUGGGAUCAAAAUUUCUAAGUUAUUAUGAACUUUUGGAAGAAAGAAAAAAUGGAAGAGGUAACCCCCAACGUAUAAGGUAAAAUUAAUGAUCUUCCACUCCGAAUCAAAACCCUAGGGACACGUUAUCUGGUAAACAGGGCCUGAAAUUUAACAACAACGUUCCACUUAUUCGAAAGGAUGGGGAUCGAAUUUCUAAAUUAUUAUGUUAUAUAAACUUUAGAAAGAAAGAAAACGGAAGAGGUAACCGAUGUGGUGCAAACGCAUAGGUAAAAUUGAUGAUCUUUCCCUCCGAAUCGAAACAAAAGCUAAACCAGUUACUGGAUCCAGACCACCCUGGGACAGGAAAUCAAAAAACCGCAAAAGCAGAUCAAGAAGAUAAAACGAGACCUCAAUCCAACUAAUUGGAAAUCAUACCAACAUCACAAAUUCUUGUCCGGGAGACCGCGAUCGGUAUAAAAAUCCCAACAAUUCACAACCUUUAAACGUAUUAACUUGGUAGAAAAAAGGCCAUCGCCAACAUUCCAGCCAAACGCUAAAAACACACCAAUAACACUACAACGCAGAAUUAAUCAAUCCCAAAAAGUAAGUCGAAAGGCGGAGAACUUAAAUAUUUAAAGGGAAUUCAACCUUCAAUCAUCGUCAGAUGACUGGGAUCGAAAAAUUUUAACCUGGAAAGAGAAAUCGUCAUCGCCAGGAAUCCAGCCAACCCUAAAAUCACAACCAUAACGAAACGCAAUCCAUAAAAAUCAACAAACCCAAACGGAGGAAUCGAGCCGAAAUCGAAAUCUAAAAACGCAGAUUCAACACCAGCACAGAGCGAUGAAACCUGAUCGCUGACGCCACACCGAUCAAGGGCGCCAUCCGAACAAGCGAGUUGGGAGGAUGCCUAAGGGGGUAUUUAUAGGUAUAGUGAGUGAAUACGAACGGCUGAGAUUAAACCGUGAUGGAAACAAUGGACGGUGGAUAUUAAGGUAGAAGGGGUAAGUGAUUCGCUGUCAAC
RNAcentral lists this long non-coding RNA (1168 nucleotides) under Malus domestica (apple). RNAcentral's name for it is "long non-coding RNA (MDOM_LNC019240)". The record is from RNAcentral. Lineage: Eukaryota; Viridiplantae; Streptophyta; Magnoliopsida; Rosales; Rosaceae.